CUGUUANCUCUUUUACUCUCUCUUUACUCUUCCUCACUCUGUCAUCUCUUUACCACGCUCUUGCCUUCUUUCUCUUUACCUCUCUCUCCUCUCAGGCCUGCUCUGAGCUGUGGCUGGCAGCUCCCAGCAGGGCCCUUUGCAAUAACCCCCAAAUUCCACGCCCUGGCUGCAGAGAUCUCUCAUCUCCGUCCAUCCCAACACUCCAACAGGUGGCUCCUGUGGGGUUUGUGCUGCUGAGCCACAGCUGCUGAGUCCACUCUGUGUCCCCUCUCCCAGGUGUCCCGACGGUCAAGUGGUGCUGAAGCCCUGCACACCCACGAGUGACCUGGAGUGUGGUCCUGACACAGCCACCUUCCCCUCCUGGAUUGUGAUUGUGAUUUUGAUUGUGAUCGGGAUUGGGAUUGGAACUGCUCUCUGCUGCUGGAAACAACCCUGCAGCUCCCCAGGGGAUGAGAGCCCC
Molecule: long non-coding RNA, 460 nt
Filed under: Zonotrichia albicollis (white-throated sparrow)
Lineage: Eukaryota; Metazoa; Chordata; Aves; Passeriformes; Passerellidae
Description: lncRNA (ENSZALG00000004323.1)
Source: RNAcentral